This 455-nucleotide ribosomal RNA is filed under the name uncultured bacterium. RNAcentral describes it as "bacterial SSU rRNA". It matches the Rfam family "Bacterial small subunit ribosomal RNA", at positions 1 to 457 of the family's 1533-position model. The record is from RNAcentral.
CCCUUAGAGUUUGAUCCUGGCUCAGAUUGAACGCUGGCGGCAGGCCUAACACAUGCAAGUCGAGCGGUAGCACAGAGACCUUGCUCUCGGGUGACGAGCGGCGGACGGGUGAGUAAUGUCUGGGAAACUGCCUGAUGGAGGGGGAUAACUACUGGAAACGGUAGCUAAUACCGCAUAAUGUCGCAAGACCAAAGUGGGGGACCUUCGGGCCUCAUGCCAUCAGAUGUGCCCAGAUGGGAUUAGCUAGUAGGUGGGGUAACGGCUCACCUAGGCGACGAUCCCUAGCUGGUCUGAGAGGAUGACCAGCCACACUGGAACUGAGACACGGUCCAGACUCCUACGGGAGGCAGCAGUGGGGAAUAUUGCACAAUGGGCGCAAGCCUGAUGCAGCCAUGCCGCGUGUGUGAAGAAGGCCUUCGGGUUGUAAAGCACUUCAGCGGGGAGGAAGGCGUUAA